CCCAUUGUCUUGUUUUCUUCCAGAUCAGGCAACCCUCUGCCUUCAUCCGUCACAGCGCUGGGGGGAACGCUGAUGUUUAAAGGAAAGUCCUCUGAUCUGGCUGGCUUCUACACCUGCGUGGCAAAUAACACAUAUGGAAGCAAACAAAAUACCCUCUAUGUACAUUUCGACUCAGCAGCCUGCAUAGAUGGCUGGAUCGCUUUUAUUCUUCUUCUUCUGGUCUUGAUUGUGGGAAUCGGUGUGUUUCUGUACAAAAAAGGAUCGAUACAACUUCCAAGUUGUAUGAGAUCAAGAGGAGAAGAAGUACAACGUCA
Fundulus heteroclitus (mummichog) is the source of this 314-nucleotide long non-coding RNA. RefSeq lists it as uncharacterized. Lineage: Eukaryota; Metazoa; Chordata; Actinopteri; Cyprinodontiformes; Fundulidae. The transcript has 3 exons. The record is from RefSeq and is a predicted model, not a curated record.